GUCUCAGGCCGUAUCAGCCUGAAGGCGCCCGAUCUCGCCUGAUCUCGGAAGCUAAGCAGGGUCGGGCCUGGUUAGGAUCUUGGAUGGGUGACCACCUGGGAAUCCCGGGUGCUCGAGGCU
Molecule: ribosomal RNA, 120 nt
Organism: Bison bison bison
Lineage: Eukaryota; Metazoa; Chordata; Mammalia; Artiodactyla; Bovidae
Source: Ensembl